GUUAAAAAGCUCGUAGUUGAAUUUCGGGAUCAAUAUAUCGGUCGUGCCUUGGUACGUACUGGUAUCAUUGGUUUCUCCUUUCUGACGGACCAUGAUGUCAUUAAUUUGGUGUUAUGGGAAGUUAGGACUGUUACUUUGAAAAAAUUAGAGUGUUUAAAGCAGGCUUUAGCUUGAAUACAUUAGCAUGGAAUAAUGAAAUAGGACGUUUGAUUCUAUUUUGUUGGUUUCUAGGAUCGACGUAAUGAUUAAUAGGGAUAGUUGGGGGCAUUAGUAUUCAAUUGUCAGAGGUGAAAUUCUUGGAUUUAUUGAAGACUAACUACUGCGAAAGCAUUUGCCAAGGAUGUUUUCAUUAAUCAAGAACGAAAGUUAGGGGAUCGAAGACGAUCAGAUACCGUCGUAGUCUUAACCAUAAACUAUGCCGACUAGGGAUCGGAUGAUGUUAAUUUUUUAAUGACUCAUUCGGUGCCUUACGGGAAACCAAAGUG
Molecule: ribosomal RNA, 485 nt
Filed under: uncultured Glomus
Lineage: Eukaryota; Fungi; Glomeromycota; Glomeromycetes; Glomerales; Glomeraceae
Description: SSU rRNA
Rfam family: Eukaryotic small subunit ribosomal RNA
Source: RNAcentral